Mytilus californianus (California mussel) is the source of this 426-nucleotide long non-coding RNA. RefSeq lists it as uncharacterized. Lineage: Eukaryota; Metazoa; Mollusca; Bivalvia; Mytilida; Mytilidae. The record is from RefSeq and is a predicted model, not a curated record. The transcript is spliced from 3 exons.
CUGCGGUUCCAUAAGUGGUUACUUGAACGCUUCAAUCACGUAAAACGCUUGCAUCUGUAUUUACAACGUAAACAAUAUGGCAUCCGAUGAUUACAUCACCUGGUCUGUUCCAGAACUAACGUUACGUGAAGCUGUCACAAGAGACAGAAAUAUAGAUCUUAUAGAAAGAAUCAAUUAGAAGAGCCAAAAUUUAUAAGCUUAUAUUCAAAACAUUCUGGAGGAGCAUAUUGUGUGAAGAAGCCAGCAGAAGUCAAGAGAAAUAAAAAGAAUGGAACAAAAGAAAAAUUGAAAAAGAACAGUGAAAUGACAAAAUUCAAUAAAAUUUUUGCAUUUCUUAUUGUUGUUAUCUUGUGUAUUGUUGACCAAGACAGCAAAGAAAACCAUCGAAAAGCUGUUCAGACAGAAAAUGACAGAUGCUACACAUGA